AGUGAACGCUGGCGGUAGGCCUAACACAUGCAAGUCGAACGGCAGCACAGUAAGAGCUUGCUCUUACGGGUGGCGAGUGGCGGACGGGUGAGGAAUACAUCGGAAUCUACUUUUUCGUGGGGGAUAACGUAGGGAAACUUACGCUAAUACCGCAUACGACCUACGGGUGAAAGCAGGGGAUCUUCGGACCUUGCGCGAUUGAAUGAGCCGAUGUCGGAUUAGCUAGUUGGCGGGGUAAAGGCCCACCAAGGCGACGAUCCGUAGCUGGUCUGAGAGGAUGGUCAGCCACACUGGAGCUGAGACACGGUCCAGACUCCUACGGGAGGCAACAGUGGGGAAUAUUGGACAAUGGGCGCAAGCCUGAUCCAGCCAUACCGCGUGGGUGAAGAAGGCCUUCGGGUUGUAAAGCCCUUUUGUUGGGAAAGAAAAGCAGCAGGUUAAUACCCCGCUGUUCUGACGGUACCCAAAGAAUAAGCACCGGCUAACUUCGUG
This 492-nucleotide ribosomal RNA is filed under the name uncultured bacterium. RNAcentral describes it as "partial 16S ribosomal RNA". It matches the Rfam family "Bacterial small subunit ribosomal RNA", at positions 29 to 507 of the family's 1533-position model. The record is from RNAcentral.